UGAAUUUCUCCAAAUCUGUUCUGAUAAUGAAACAAACUCAUUUCCAUCUUGGAUGGCCUGAGGGUGAGUACAUUUUUGGGUGAACUGUUCUUUUAAAGGAAAUUAAAUCUAAAAUUACAUUAUUUGAACUUUAUAAGAAAGUAUCUACACAUUCUAUUGUACCUGCUAAGGUUUUUUUUUCUUUUUUUUCUUUUUUCUUUGAUUGAGAGAUUCACCCAUUAUUGACAAAUCACAUUUUUUGAGAAUGUUUGGACAUGUAUGCCACUUUUGAGUCACACAUCAUGAAAAGUCAUGAAUAGAAAAGUACUUUAAAGUUUAUCAGGAUCUUUUGAUGUGGCUGUUUGCCCACAAAUGGAUACAAAUUAUGAGGUUCAGUGAGGUCAGGUUCUAGCAUCACUUUGUCAACUGAUCAACAGUGUGAUUAAGGAAAUGCCCCUUGCACAACUGUCUGCCUAAUGACAUCCUUAGGUUUGAUGACUCUUGGGACAUUUCUGCCUUUGCUAACGCUAAAACAUGCCCAGUUCUGGUGUGGCCUUACACUUUUUUUGACCUUUAUUAAUUCACUACUAGUGAACCAAGCACAAAUAUUUACACAAGUAGUAGUCAAAUUAAAGAAAUUGUUUCGUAACAAUCGUUCACUUAAUCUCAGCUACUUUUGAUUAUUUAGGAGCACAAAAAUGACUUUUUCCAAAUAUGUUAAUCAGAACUGGUAAAUGAAUUAAACCUUUUUUUUUUUUUUUUUUUUUUUUUUUUUUAGAGAGAAAGAGAAAUAUAUCUUUGUUACAAAUAAGCUCAAUGCUUUUGGAAGAGCUGCUGAAACAGAAACACUAGCAUCAACAUGCAAAAUAUUAUAUUAAUAAUUAGGGUUACUUUUUGUGUACUUGUUUUUUUUUUUUUUUUUUUUGUUAACUUUUUUCUUUAUAUAGUCAAUCUAUAUUUCAGGGCACCAGUGCAGCAUAAUAAUAAAAGUGCUUUUUGAGAUCAUAGUAUCAAAAUUGUAUUUUAAAAACAACUUUUGUUAAUGCAAUCCCAGUGCCAUUAAGGAGCUAUUUUAAUAUGUUUAUUUUAUCUCAUUUCUAUCAAUAUCAACAAAGACCAAGGUUACUGGUGCAUAAAAUGUGUUUGUAAAUGAGUCAGUAAUGACUCUGAGCAUUUGCUAUUUUUGCUUUUUGUAGACUAGAUACAUUUAUCUAAAGUGAUUUUUGGUACAUUUUAUACAGUCAAAGGAAUUACAUGCCUUGUUUGUAACUGUGCUGCUUGUUCAUUAAACUACUAUAUAAAUACUGAUUUCUGGCAUUUAUUUUAUUUCAAAAUGUGUUUAAAUGGUCAUGCAUGCAGUCACAUCACUUGAAAAAAUAUUGUUACAUUUAUUUGUGAGAAGAGCAUAAUUUUAAUAUGCCCGUUUCGUUACACUUUAAUAGAAUUAAUUAAUUAAACUUGUUUGUUUAAACUCUCCUUGGUGAGAUAAUUUUUAGCAUAAUAUUAAAAUUACUUUAACUAAAUUUUAAUACUAAAAUUAAUUAACUUUAAUAAUGCAUAAAAGUGAUACAGCAUGAAGUGAUUAAAUAAGCUAUUGGUUUACUUUAAAAAAAAAAAAACAACUCUAUUAACACUUUAUUUAUAGUACUAGGCAAAAGUUACUCAUUACACCUACUCUUUAUUAUUGCUAUUUUGAAUAAUAAAAUAAAAUUGGAAUAAUAAUUAUAAUGUAAGACAAAUGUGUGAGGUACUGGCCAAAUUUUUAUUUUCCCAACCAUCCAUUUGUUUUUUGUAAUAGAAACUUAAACACACACACACAGUGCUUAAGUCAUAAUUAUUUUUGGUCUAUUUUCCUGUAAGAGAAAAGCUGUAAAAGAGAUGUGGGAGUGAAGCUUGAAGAAAGACAAUGGCAGCCACUGACAUGAGUUUACACCCUGAUAAUGAAAAUUAUGACGUAUUAAAAUCAUUCUUUUCCAACUCCCAUAGCCAAUAUUAUUAAAUUGAGUCAGAUUGUGAUUAAAAUCAACAGACAUUAUUUCCAUAAGCAGCGUGUGACAUUAGAUGAUUAUAUUAGGCUAUAUCUCUCCGAAAGCAUCUUAUGGUUAGCUGUACAACAAAAUAUUAAUCAUUGAAAUUGAUGAUAUGUAUGUUUAUGUAAAAAGCACUAUCUUCCAGUUAUCACAAAUAUCAUAAUAAACAUAAUUUAUACAAUCUUUAUACUUAAACUGUUUUUUCUUUUUAAUAUAUAAUUUAAAAAAAUAAUAUAAAUAAUGAUCCUCAUCAUUAUAAUGCUGUGGUUUUAACCUGUGCCUGGGGCUGAUCACCUGCACAGGUGUCAGCCAUUUCCUGGACUAUUUAAACAGUUCUCUCCCAGCCUUCAUCGCAAAGUCUUGGUUUGCUACUGCUAACAUUUCUGAGCAUUAUUUCCCUGUUUGAUUCUCUGUUGCCUACCUGGACUGUUGUUUCUUUGCAGAUCAUUUGCUGCCUGCCUUUUUGACCCUGUCUGCCUUGUGGAUUUACUCUUUGCUCUGUCUGCUGCCUGCCCCGACCAUUUUCCUGGACUCUGUUAAUGAUUUCGCCUUGCCUACUUUGUUUCUAACACUGCUGAUUGAACAUUGCCUGUCAGACUCGGAUUGUGUAUUAAUAAAGCUGCACAUGGAUCCACCUCCACUGACUCUUCAUUACAGAAGACUUUGCCGAAUUCCAAUCCAGCAGCUUUCUAUCAUUUCACCAUGGAGUUAUCUGCUCAAGCGUCAGUCCUGGCCUCAUCAACAACAGCUUAACCGACUCACCUCGCUCACCGAGGAGCUGGUAAAGACCCUCCAAGCUCACCGCCUACCAUCACCCAAAGUCAGCGUUCUUCAACCGAACCUACCUCCAUCAGCUGCUACAACAGGCCCCACCACAGCCAGCCCUUGCUUGGCAUUCCCGGAAAAGUUUGAUGGAUCACCCACGAAGUAAGAGUGCUGGACUGGGCUACCGCUGUGUGGAGUGAGAAUCAUACUGUUUUCCCCUCUUUCACUAGUUUCAUUCAACGCUUCAAGGAUGUUUUUGAAACACCCAGCGGGUGGCAAAGAGGUUAGUGAACAACUAUUUUCCCUCCUGCAGGGAAGAGGCUCAGUGGCUGAUUACACUCUUUCCUUUCGCACGCUCGCUGUACAUACGGGGUAGCUGGAUUAUCCCCUCAAACUCCUUCCAAAAUGGUCUUUCCGCUGAACUGAAAUCUGAACUGGCCUGCCACGAUGAGGGCAAAUCCCUGGACCAGUUAAUUGAACUGGCUAUUCACAUUGACAAUCUCAUCCUCUUCCAACGACAACCUCAACACUCCUUUGUUUCCACCAUAACGGCACCACUACCACCAGAGACCGAACCCAUGCAGAUCGGCUUUACUCAUCUCAACAUGGAGGAGAGAGAGAGAGAGGGACGCAUUCACUAGAAUCUAUGUUUAUACUGCGGACUACCUGGACACUUGAGAGCAUCUUGCCCCACUCGUCCGCCUCGUAACUCUUCUGCAGUGAGUCAGAAUUCCUGUCAAUCUACAACCGUAGAGAUACCAGUUACUUUAAAGGUUAAUGGGGAGUUUAUUAACACCAGGGCUCUCAUCAAUUAGGGGGCAGCAGGAAAUUUCAUUGACUCUGAAUUGUCUAAGACUCAUAGUAUACCCCUUGUUCCCUGAGAAUCUUGUUUGUCAGUGGCAGCAUUAGACGGACUUCCCCUGGGCUCCAGCCAGGUUCAGUUCACCACCGGAGAUCUAUCUAUGCACACAGGAGCCAUUCACACUGAGACCAUCCAUCUAUUCAUCUUUCAAUCCCCAUAGACUCCCAUCAUCCUGGGGCUUCCCUGGCUAGAGAAGCACAACCCGUGUAUAUCAUGGACUGAGAAACAAAUAACUCAAUUGUCUGAAUAAUUACGGCCUCCUCAAGGAUAUAGUCUCUGACCGUGGACCAAAAUUCACUUUUCAAGUUUGGUCUGCCUUCUGACAGAAACUCAAUCUCAAUGUUGGCCUCACCUCCGGUUACCACCCUUAGUCCAAUGGUCAAGUGGAGCGUCUCAAUCAAAAACUCAACCGUUUCCUUCGCUCAUACUGCUACCGAAAUCAGGACUAGACUAGAGCUACCUAUUAUGGGCCGAAUAUGCUCAGAACUCCCUCCACAAACCGACCACGGGCCUCACUCCCUUCCAGUGUGUGCUGGAAUUCCAACCUCCCCUAUUCCCUUGGUUCGGAGAACCCUCAGAAUUACCUGCUGUAAACUCCUGGCUCCAACGGAGUGAAGAAACCUGGAAUGAGGCACUUGUACACCUUCAACGGGCCAUUCACAGAACAAGGUAACAGGCUGAUCGCCAUCGGCACCCUAAUCCCAGCUAUCGUCCAGAUCAAUGGGUCUGGCUAUCUACCCGCAUGGCACACGUACAUUUUCCGCUACCUUGAGGAAGACCCCGGCGUCGUUUGCCUCCUCGCAUCAGGACCUGCUUGCGGGGUGGGGGGUUAGGAGGAGUUUUGUUAAAUCAAGCCUCUGUGGCUCCCUCCAGACACCACCAGAGGGAGAUGUCACCCAAAUACUAACUGGUUCUUUCGGAUUUCAUUUCCCAUAGCCCCGUGCCUGAGGCUGAUCAUCUGCACAGGUGUCAGCCAUUUCCUGGACUAUUUAAACAGCUCUCUCCCAGCCUUCAUCGUGAAGUCUUGUUUUGCUACUGCUAAAAUUUCUGAGCAUUAUUUCCCUGUUUGAUUCUCUGUUGCCUACCUGGACUGUUGUUUCUUUGCUGUUCGUUUGCUGCCUGCCUUUUUGACCGUGCCUGCCUUGUGGAUUUACUCUGUGCUGUCUGCUGCCUGCCCCGACCAUUUUCCUGGACUCUGUUAAUGAUUUUGCCUUGCCUACGUUGUCUCACGCUGCUGAUUAAACAUUGCCUGUCAGACUCGGCUUGUCUAUUAAUAAAGCUGCAUAUGGAUCCCAAC
Long non-coding RNA from Cyprinus carpio (common carp), 4933 nucleotides. RefSeq lists it as uncharacterized. NCBI's taxonomy places the organism in Eukaryota, Metazoa, Chordata, Actinopteri, Cypriniformes, Cyprinidae. The transcript has 2 exons. The record is from RefSeq and is a predicted model, not a curated record.